Molecule: ribosomal RNA, 253 nt
Filed under: uncultured bacterium
Lineage: Bacteria
Description: partial 16S ribosomal RNA
Rfam family: Bacterial small subunit ribosomal RNA
Source: RNAcentral
GACGGAAGGUGCAAGCGUUGCUCGGAAUCACUGGGCGUAAAGGGUGCGUAGGCGGCCGCGCAAGUCUGGCGUGAAAGCCCCGGGCUCAGCCCGGGAAGGGCGCUCGAAACGGCGCGGCUCGAGUGCCGGAGGGGAGAGUGGAAUUCCUGGUGUAGCGGUGAAAUGCGUAGAUAUCAGGAGGAAUACCGGUGGCGAAGGCGGCAUCCUGGACCGACACUGACACUGAGGAGCGAAAGCCAGGGGAGCAAACAGG